This 379-nucleotide ribosomal RNA is filed under the name uncultured bacterium. Its description in RNAcentral is "bacterial SSU rRNA". It matches the Rfam family "Bacterial small subunit ribosomal RNA", at positions 29 to 411 of the family's 1533-position model. The record is from RNAcentral.
AUUGAACGCUGGCGGCAUGCCUUACACAUGCAAGUCGAACGGUAACGCGGGGCAACCUGGCGACGAGUGGCGAACGGGUGAGUAAUAUAUCGGAACGUGCCCAGUAGUGGGGGAUAGCCCGGCGAAAGCCGGAUUAAUACCGCAUGAGACCUGAGGGUGAAAGCGGGGGAUCGCAAGACCUCGCGCUAUUGGAGCGGCCGAUAUCAGAUUAGGUAGUUGGUGGGGUAAAGGCCUACCAAGCCGACGAUCUGUAGCUGGUCUGAGAGGACGACCAGCCACACUGGGACUGAGACACGGCCCAGACUCCUACGGGAGGCAGCAGUGGGGAAUUUUGGACAAUGGGCGCAAGCCUGAUCCAGCCAUGCCGCGUGCGGGAGAA